ACGAACACAAUUCAAGUCUCUACUAUCGCUUUACCUCUUGAUUCCACCACCAAUUUGCUCGUAUCUAGCCACAAGUUACUUAAUUACAUCAAUAAAUUCUAAAUGAAUCAAUUCUAAUGCAUGAAAAUAAGUUUUCCAAAAUUUUACCCAAAAAGUCAAAAAUUGCCUCGGGGCCACAUGGUCAAAACCCGAGGUUCGAACCAAAACCCGAUUACCCAUUUCCCCACGAGCCCAAAUAUAUAAUUUGUUUUGAAAUCGGACCCCAAAUGGAGGUCAAAAUCCCCAAUUUUUGAAAAACCUAGGUUCUACCCAAAAACACCCAAUUCCNNNNNNNNNNNNNNNNNNNNNNNNNAUACAAUUGAUUUGGAAGAAGUGUUGCUCUUGAAAAAUCGCCCUAGGGAGUUUGUGUUUUGAAAAGAUGUGAAAAAUGAUUGAUUUUCGGCUAAGUAUAAAAGUUGCAGGUCGCGGAUGUGGGAAUUGCGAACAGGGGUUCGUAAUUGUGAACCCCGACCUCUGCUAAGUUGGGAAAUGCGAAGGGGCUCUCGCAAUUGCGAGAUGGGAAAUGCGAACCAAAUAUCGCAUUUGCGAUAACAGGCCCAAGAGGACAUAUCGCAUUUGCGAAGGGUGUCUCGCAUUUGCGAAAUGGAGCUGGCCUGGGCUUCUUUCGCAAUUGCGACAAGACCCUAGCACUUGCGAUAUCGGAUUUGCAAUCCAGGAUUCGCAAAUGCGAAGCUUGCAUGCCUGCUAUGCACAACUGAAAACUACAAUUUCCUCAAGUCUAAAAUCCACCCCGUGGCCUAUCCAAAACUCACCUGAUCCCUUGGGGCUCCAGACCAAACAUGUACACCAAUCCCAAAAUAUCAUACGGACUCGUUCGUGCAUUCAAAUCACUAAAAUAACAUCAAUAACUAUUAAUUUAGCAUCAAAAUCAUGAAAUUUCCUUAUGAACUUCAAUUUCCAAUUUUUCUCAAAAAUGAUCUGAUUCACGUCGUUUCAAGUCCGUUUCUUACCAAACCUCACAGACUUAUCUUAAUUCACAUAUAACACCUAUACUGGGCGCCAGAACCAAAAUACGGGCCUGAUACCAUCAAGUUCUAAUCACAAUUCCUUUCCAAAUCGCAUAAUUAAUUUCAUAAAACAAUUUCUUUCGAAAAUUCAUUUCCCGGGCUUGGGACCUCGGAAUUUGAUUUCGGGCAUACGCCCAAGUCCCAUAUUUUCCUACGGACCCUUCGGGACCGUCAAAUCACGGAUCUGGGUCCUUUUACCCAAAAUGUUGACCGAAGUCAACUUAAUUUAUUUUAUAGUCCAAAUUUAUUAUUUUUCACAUAUUUCUAUAAAAUGGCUUUCCGGCUACGCGCACGGACUAUGAACGCAAAUUAAGGUAAGACUAAAAAAGGGUUUUAAAGCCUCGGAACGUAGAAUUCAUUUUAAAAACAAGUGAUGACCUUUUGGGUUAUCACAUUUAGCCCUUAUGUAUUUAUUUUGAUUUGGACAUUCUGGAGUUAGAUCACAAUAUAGUAUCCAUAGCUUGUGAUUUCAUGAGAUUCCGGAUUUUGGAAGUUGUCUAGUUUGAGAGUUUAUAUUUGUAUAUGCCGAGCGGCAUUUUAAACUUUCAUUAUGUUUAUUUCUGCAGUUUUUAUUAGUUUUAUCUGUUGUUCCCUUUUUCCACAAAUUGUUAGGCUUACCUAAUCGAAAAGACUAGGUGCCAUCACAACAGUUCAUGGAGGGAGAACUGGGGCCGUGACAAUUCAUUAUCGCCACUUGGCAUAAUUAUUGGUGUCCCAAGUAACCAAUUUAUUUUAAAUCCCAAACCGAGGAAAAUUGACUCUAUUUUUUGAUCCGCGAACACAGAAAACCGGGUAAGGAAUUCUGGUAACCCGGGAGAAGGCGUUAGGCAUUGGUUUUAGCACGGUCGCUCAACUAUUAAUAAUUGGCCUAAUUAUCUGCUUAAUUGCGUGUUUUAAAUCUAUUGUGCAUUUUUAACUUUAGUGCCGCUUUUAUUUAUUUAUGGAUUUAUUUCUGGAACAAGUCAUGAUUGUCGUACACUUGUCGUUUUGGUACAUAUUACAAGCCGCAUCACAUGAAAUGCACCCGCGAUUUACAACAUGUUCAUUUUUUAUUAUUGUUUGAAGUUAUGGUCAAGUCACAUAAAACGCACUCCCGAAUUGGGGAUUGCGUAUCAUGACUAUGGCACGGGAACCGUACCCAUAGUCACGAUAAUUUUAUUAAUCGCGCCUAAAGCAAGCUACGAUGUUCAUGAGUUAUUUUCCUUCUUUGAGGUUACUAUAAAGUCAUAAGGUAUGGAUAUUAUUGUGGAGGAAAUAAAGUGAAUUAAUUAUGAAUGAGUAGACUAGCUUCGUGUGUUUGAAAAAAAUUGGAUCGGCACAUGAAUAAAUAGGAACGUUGUUGUUUCUCUUCUUUUUUUAUUGGCUUUUGGCAGAUAUAUAUCUAAUUUGGCCUAAACUCGCAAACUAAAUUGCACAUCCAAUCCAGUUUCUGAUUUUUACAAGACAAACCAAAUGGCCAAAUUGGCAUAACUAAUGAACAAAGGUUCCAAGGAAAAAUAAUGAUUCACUACUUCUUAUUUUUUUUAGCUAUCAAACAAGAACUAAAAGAUUUUUAGAGUUAUAUCUAAUGCUCAUGAAAUUAGAAUUGAAAUAGGAGAUUCAGACAACAAUAUACCAACUAAAACGAUUCUGGCAAACCUAGUGUAAAUCAAACCGAUGCACAAUUUAAACAGAUAUUUCAUGAAGAAAUGAAAUUAAUUACUGCAAAUCAAGUCACUAUUAUUAUCAUUGUAAAAUAAACAAACAAAUAUUCCGGAGAUGGGUUGUUUAUGCAAGUGAUUAACAAUGGAAUUUUUAAUUGUACAUAGAUAACAUCACAGAAUGAACAAGGGAUGGAGGCAGCUUUAUUGAUCUAAUAUGCUGAAUUUCAGAUGAUUAAACGCACACGUAGUGUGAAAGAUCAAAUAUAAGGUUGUAUAGAAAUGUACAGAUGGACAUGAACAUACCUAAAUGCCAAAAAAACUAGAGUUUAGCAGCCUUUUGAAACAACCAAAUCAACAACAACAAGCAUGAAUUUGAGCUUUGACGGCUUGUGCAAACCCAGAAAAGAGGAAGUUGAUUUUUUGAAACUUCAGUAAUUAAUACCCUUUUUAAUGUUCUUUGAAAUUCAGUUUUCAAAAACCAGAAAAAUAGUAUUGAAGACCUCUUGAAUCAACCACUACGACUGAUUAUUUUGAGUAAAAAAAAGGUCAGCUGAAACUUUACUCUUUUUUUGUGUUUUUCCCCUCAAUUUGAAGCUGAAAAUUACAGAUCUAAUAAGGAAAUUUUUGAAUUUCAAAUUUGUUUUCAGAUGCAUUUAGGUGUGUAGCCCAAUGUAUGAGUAUGGGUGAGAAGAUAAGAAAUAAGAAGGGGAUAGGAGAGGGGUGCAACGACUAGGGUUAGUUUGAGGGAGGGGAUCUAAUUUUCUCUUUUUUGAGAUGGUGAUG
RNAcentral lists this long non-coding RNA (3493 nucleotides) under Nicotiana tabacum (common tobacco). RNAcentral describes it as "long non-coding RNA (NTAB_LNC010686)". Lineage: Eukaryota; Viridiplantae; Streptophyta; Magnoliopsida; Solanales; Solanaceae. The record is from RNAcentral.